This 497-nucleotide ribosomal RNA is filed under the name uncultured bacterium. RNAcentral's name for it is "partial 16S ribosomal RNA". It matches the Rfam family "Bacterial small subunit ribosomal RNA", at positions 28 to 507 of the family's 1533-position model. The record is from RNAcentral.
GAUGAACGCUGGCGGCGUGCCUCAUACAUGCAAGUCGAGCGAACAGACGAGGAGCUUGCUCCUCUGACGUUAGCGGCGGACGGGUGAGUAACACGUGGAUAACCUACCUAUAAGACUGGGAUAACUUCGGGAAACCGGAGCUAAUACCGGAUAAUAUUUUGAACCGCAUGGUUCAAUAGUGAAAGACGGUUUUGCUGUCACUUAUAGAUGGAUCCGCGCCGCAUUAGCUAGUUGGUAAGGUAACGGCUUACCAAGGCAACGAUGCUUAGCCGACCUGAGAGGGUGGUCGGCCACACUGGAACUGAGACACGGUCAAGACUCCUACGGGAGGCAGCAGUAGGGAAUCUUCCGCAAUGGGCGAAAGCCUGACGGAGCAACGCCGCGUGAGUGAUGAAGGUCUUCGGAUCGUAAAACUCUGUUAUUAGGGAAGAACAAAUGUGUAAGUAACUAUGCACGUCUUGACGGUACCUAAUCAGAAAGCCACGGCUAACUACGUG